Molecule: long non-coding RNA, 5075 nt
Filed under: Homo sapiens (human)
Lineage: Eukaryota; Metazoa; Chordata; Mammalia; Primates; Hominidae
Description: non-protein coding LINC01388:6
Source: RNAcentral
AAUGACGCCGAUGACAGCGACAGCGUCGGCCGAGUGCUUCCCCUGCUCCGGGUCGUCCAGGCACCGGGUCCUCCUUCAGCACUCGCAGCACGCACUGAAGAAGACGCUACGGAAGUCUCCGUUUUCCAGACUCGGGGGAAUUAGGAAACGCGCCCGGCGACCCUCGGGCAGUAGCACCGGGCCAGGUUUGCUUUCGGAACCGCUGACGCCACUCGCCGCCUUUCCCGCCUGGGCCUCUCGCGGGUCGCAGGGGUGGAAGCCCGACCUGGGCCAGGGCCCGGAUUUCUUCCUCCCGGCCUCUGCGCCGCCGCCCCCGGUGCCAGGACGCGCUUUGCUCUCGCCGAGACCCAGACGCGCCGAAAGCCUCGCGCGGGCAGUUCCCCGCCCCACGCCCCGGGCUGCGCGUUCUCCCGCGAAGCCUCUGCCGAGUGCGCGCGACGGCGCCGCCGGACUCCCCCGGACCGCGCUCCCGCGCACGCCUGACCGGAGCACCCCGCUUCACGGGGGCGUUCUGCGCGUCCUUCCUCCCCGGUGCGAUUUCCGUUCUUUUUCCUCUCGCCGGCGGGUCCGGGGCCACAGGCUGGGAGUGGAGCUGGCGGCCACUGGGGAGUAGAGAGGACGCCCAGGAACAGGUGCACCAGGGUCCCGGCGGCUGGGCCGAGGGUCGCAAGCAGAGGGGACCGGCGGCUGCCAGCAAGUCCCAAGCAGAUGCCUCCGGCGGGGCAGCCGCAUUUUACAGCGCCCAUUCCGCGUACAUCGAGUAUCCAAAACGAGUAAAAUCGGUUUAUACGUUGGAAUGUAGCUUAUGAUUCCAAAAUCUCAUCUCCAGGCUGCCUAGAUCACACGGCCCCGUUUCAUUCAUUUUUACUGAAUAACGGUCGUUGGACAAUUUAGAGAAGCAGCAGAAACCACGAGAAAAACAGUGGAGUCAAACGGCGGUAAGGACCGACAAGGCUGGCGGGGACAUUGAGCAAACGGCGGCUUCUGAGUUGGCACCUGUCCUUCACCACGUUGUGUGGGAAGUGUGGGGAGUCGGGAUUCCCACUCCUCCCCAGCCUUCCGGAAAAAUGCUCGGAAAUUUCCUUCCACAUUGACACCUGAUUACAGUCUAAAUAGUAACCUUAUUCUGAUUGUUAAUGUAACCCUCUCGUAAUCUCUACAAAAAUACUUUAGUUUUUCUAGCUGUGUUUUCAUGUAAUCACUGAAAUUAUUUUUAAUUGGUUUUAAGCAUUCAUUGAUUCCAUUUACACCACCUGCAAAAAAGUUACAUAGGUGAUCGCUAACAAUACUAGAAUUCGCCCCAUCCAAAGGAAACAUUAGAGUAGAAAAAGAAAAAGGAUUUGAGAAUCCAGUAGGAAAUUCAGUUAAUCAUUCCUUCCCUGUUACUCAACUACCUUAACAUUGUCAGGUUUACCUGAACAUAAACUUCAUUUUCUUAAUUGUUCUUAGAACGAAGGGAUAUGUUUAUUGAAAUCAGUAAUUAAGAAUAUUUUGGGACAGUUAUGAUUUACUUAGCCAGUGAAGCAGUUUCUAUUCCCAAAUCCAGGCAAAGAGAACAAUAAGAUUAAACGUAACCUAAGAGAUUUCCUUUUUGUCAAAUAAUGUGAUUUUGCUAUGUAUAGAGGAGAUGUCUAUAUGUAAGGGCAUAUUUAUGACCAGUAGUUCCUAAAAUUAAGGGGACUAUUAUUGUGUUACUCAAGGUAUCAGUUGUAUAGGAUACAUUAUGUCAUAUUUCAAACAAUGUUUAUAAAGAGAUUAGUAUAAUUAACCUGUGUGUACUUCUCCUCUGGGCCAACCUUGUGUCUUCUUUAUCUGCUGACAGUCCUCUCCCCACUGAAUUAUUUUGAAUCAAAUCCCAGAUAGUCUAUCAUUGUAUUGUAUUUUUGAAUAUUUCUCUAAAAGAUAAUAAUUCCAUCAAUGAGACUGGGUGCAGUGGCUCCUCCCUGUAAUCCCAGCUCUUUGGGAGGCAGAGGUUGGAGGAUCACUUUAGGCCAGGAGUUCAAGACCACCCUGAGCAACAUAGCAAGACCCCAUUUAUAAAAAAGAAGAUUCCCAUCAACGUAACCACAAUACCAUUAUCACACCUAAAUAAUCCAUUAAUAGCAUCGGUUUAUCCAGGCAAUAUUUAAAUAUCUUCAAUUGUCUAAAAACUUUUUGUUUAGUUGGUCGGUUUGAAUUAGAAUGCUAAUAAGGGUUACGUAUUGUGUUUGGUUGAUAUGGGCUAUUAUAUCUCUUUUAGAUUUCCUCAAUCCUCUUUUUUUGUUUCCCUUGCAUUUUUUAUGGGAGAAACUGAACGGUUUGUUCUGAAGAAGUUGACAUUCUGGACUUUGUAGCUGCAGGUAAUAGUUUUUUGGCAAGAUAUUCCCAGGGAUAAGGUCGUUUAUUCAGACUUUUGAAUAUUGGCAAAUAAUAAUAUUGUUUGUAGAGGGAGAAGGAUUAGUCAAGAUAUUUUGAAGAAUCAACUAUUGAAAAAACAAAUUUUUAUCAGAGUAAGCAUGGAUCUGGUAAAGAUUAUGUGAAAUUUUCCUAAAUGCAAAUACAAUCUAAAAUUGUAAUGUCUUACAAUUAAAAAAUAGAUUAUUUUCCAUAUAUUUAUAGAAAUAUAAAUGAUCAAUCAACUAUUUCAUUGACAAUUUUAAAUCUAGUUUUGUCUUGAGGAGAAUAAAGUUUUUUAUAUCUUUAGUAUUUUAGUUGAAGAUCCAAAGACAUUUUAUGUUAAAACUUUAGGUUUUAUAUUGUUUUAUGUUUUAAAACAUAAAAUCUAAAAUGUGGUAAUAUCCAUGAGGUGCAGAGAGAGUAAUAGCACAAAUUCUGUGUUCAUGAAAAUUCAUUUUAGGAUAACUUAAUUAAAAGGACUCAGGAUUUGAAUGAUAUUAGAUUAGACAGAAAAAAGUUCACUUGAGUGUAAGACAUAAGUAAUAAAAACCAAAGGUAGCUAACUUUUGUAGGCUUCUUCUUUCUUUAACGAGUAUGCAUAUGAAAUAAAAUUUCCAUGUCUAUGUCCAUUUUUCCAAGGUACAUGGGCUUCUACAAUUUCGUCUAUUUCAUCCUGCAGUUAUUUUCACGGGUCUCUGUGUCCACCACUAUCUGGAAUCUCUGAGAUGGUGAAAACGAAAUCUUAUUCUUCUUUAUAUUUCAAACAAUUCCUAGCACAUUAUCAAAAAUACCUGAUAAAAUUUAUUGUGUCUGUAAUACUGGUAAGCAUGUAAAAUGGUGGUAAAUAUAUAGGCUUUAAGUUUAGAUAGUUCUAAAUAUUAUUAAAAUUACCAAAUUAUUGUUUUUAAAAAGUAUUAGUUUCCUAGGACAAAUAGAGAUUUUUAGAUAAGGCUGGAUUUGUAAUACUUUAAGCAACAGGUCACAGUGCUUAAGUAUUUAAUGCCGAUUUGGCAAGCAGCUGAUGUUUUAUAUAAUGCUGUCGGGUAUUUUAUAUUUGCGUGUAUUUUCUGAUGCACUGGAUCCAGCACUUCAUGUCACGUCAUAUAUCUGUUUAUAAUGUAUACAAAUGUAUUUUCAUAUAUAUUUGAUGUUUGAUGGCUUUGAAACUUUAAUCUUGAAAUAGGUUUUAAAUUUUUAUUAAAACUAUUUAAAUAAUUACUGUAAGGAAAGAGCUCUUAUUAGUUGAAAGAAAAUGUAGAUUCAUGUUUCCUUGGAGACUAGUCUAGUUUCCAAGGAUAGACGGCAGUGAGGAGUCGGGUAUCUAGAUGGAAUUUCUGUUGGUUUGGAUUCCAGCUCUGCUGCUUACCAGCUUUGUGACCUCAGGCAAACAACUUAACCUCUCCAAGCCUCAAUUUCCCCAUCUAUAUAAUGGUGAUAUUUAUAAGUUUCACCUUAUAGGGCCACGGUGGGGAUUCCAUGAAAUAGUGUAUGUGAAGUGCUUAGCACAGUGCCUGGCACAUACUCAAUGCUCUAUGCAUGUCAGCUAGUACUUAAUGAUGCUAAUAAACAUGUUAUGUCCCUAAGCACGGGUGGGAUCUUGCCUGACGUCCUUCUCUCUGCGUCCUGGUCAGUCUUCACAUGGUGGGCAUCCUUUAUUUCCGGUCACACACGGGUGGUACACAGAGCAUGCUGUUUCUUUCGUGCCAGAAGGUUCCCGCUGCAGCUCUCCUGCUAGUUUAGCUUAGCCUUCUGGUUUGAGGGAUGAGUCACAUGUACCAUCACUUCCCAGGACCAACAGGACCUUUCAGGAAAGCUAUCCCCUGCUUACACAGAGAAUUGCCCUUGCCUAACACUGAAGCCUGGCAGAGUAACAUGAAAUAACCACAGCAAUUCUAAAAUUAGAAUUAGCACGCCUAGAAUAACAGGCGCUGUUGUAGGAGCAAGGUAUACAAUGAUGAUCAAGGCAGAUGCAGCCCUUACCUUCAGGUCGUGGAGUCCGGAUACAGACUGGAGGCAGAGGCAGCUGUAAGAUGUGUGACAAAUGCUGCGCUGGAUCAGCCCAUGGUAUUAGGAGAGCAGCUGAGUGCCACGUGCUGACAUCACUAAGAUCAAUACAGCAAACUCUGAAAGAUGGACGGAGAGACAGGAGAUGGUCCUUUAUAAUGCAGUGUGAUCUGUGCUGCAAUAGAGUUUUGGAAGCUAGAAGUUCAAAACGAGGUGUUGGCAGCACCAUGCUCUCUCUGAAGAUGCUAGGAAGAAUCUGCUCCAUGCCUUUCCAUUCGCUUCUGGGGUUUCCUGCAAGCCCUGACAUUCCUUGGCUUGUAGAUACACCACCCCAGUUUCCGCCCCCAUCAUCACAUGGCCUCCUCUCUGUGUGUGCCUCUGCGUUCCCUCUAUUCUUCUUCUAAGGACACCGACACCAGUCAUAGUGGAUUAAGGGUCCACUCCUAACCAAUUACAUCUGCAACAACCCUAUUUCCAAAUAAAGUCACAUUCUAAGAUUCCUAGGGAGAACAGGAAUUUUUGGGGGUGUGUGGAUACUGUUCAACCUGGGACAUGGAGUAAAUAAAUGGCAAGGAAGAUUACAGAUGACUUUAAGCUAAAGAGGGAGAUAGGGUUAAAUGUAGGACUUUUUUUUUUUCCAGGACGGGAGAGGUUUAAACAUGUUACUACAUUGAAUAAAUGAAAUAACCAUGGAC